CACAUAUUUUACCAACUUCCGGAUUACCAGCAAGACUAAAAUACCUCUGUUUAGUUAAGCAAAAAUGGCUGGAAGGAGAUUACAAACACUAACCCAUUGUAUAUAAUCCGGUAUUAGGAGCUACAACUCGACGAGUAUGUGUACUUUUGUUCACAUUUUUCAUUGUGUGGUAGGGCCAAUUAUAAUGCCAGGUUCGCUUGAUGGGUACAUCC
RNAcentral lists this small nucleolar RNA (212 nucleotides) under Debaryomyces hansenii. The record is from RNAcentral. Lineage: Eukaryota; Fungi; Ascomycota; Pichiomycetes; Serinales; Debaryomycetaceae.